Molecule: ribosomal RNA, 429 nt
Filed under: Pseudomonadota bacterium
Lineage: Bacteria; Pseudomonadati; Pseudomonadota
Description: Proteobacteria bacterium partial 16S ribosomal RNA
Rfam family: Bacterial small subunit ribosomal RNA
Source: RNAcentral
UGGGGAAUAUUGGACAAUGGGCGAAAGCCUGAUCCAGCCAUGCCGCGUGUGUGAAGAAGGUCUUCGGAUUGUAAAGCACUUUAAGUUGGGAGGAAGGGCAGUAAGCGAAUACCUUGCUGUUUUGACGUUACCGACAGAAUAAGCACCGGCUAACGCUGUGCCAGCAGCCGCGGUAAUACAGAGGGUGCGAGCGUUAAUCGGAUUUACUGGGCGUAAAGCGUGCGUAGGCGGCUAAUUGAGUCGGAUGGGAAAUCCCCGAGCUUAACUUGGGAAUUGCAUUAGAUACUGGUUAGCUAGAGUGUGGGAGAGGAUGGUAGAAUUCCAGGUGUAGCGGUGAAAUGCGUAGAGAUCUGGAGGAAUACCGAUGGCGAAGGCAGCCAUCUGGCCUAACACUGACGCUGAGGUACGAAAGCAUGGGGAGCAAACAGG